RNAcentral lists this ribosomal RNA (253 nucleotides) under uncultured bacterium. RNAcentral describes it as "partial 16S ribosomal RNA". It matches the Rfam family "Bacterial small subunit ribosomal RNA", at positions 524 to 776 of the family's 1533-position model. The record is from RNAcentral.
UACGAAGGGGGCUAGCGUUGCUCGGAAUUACUGGGCGUAAAGGGCGCGUAGGCGGAUAGUUCAGUUGGGGGUGAAAGCCCGGGGCUCAACCUCGGAACUGCCUUCAAUACUGGCUAUCUUGAGUACGGGAGAGGUGUGUGGAACUCCGAGUGUAGAGGUGAAAUUCGUAGAUAUUCGGAAGAACACCAGUGGCGAAGGCGGCUCUCUGGGACGGUACUGACGCUGAGACGCGAAAGCGUGGGGAGCGAACAGG